Molecule: ribosomal RNA, 228 nt
Filed under: uncultured bacterium
Lineage: Bacteria
Description: partial 16S ribosomal RNA
Rfam family: Bacterial small subunit ribosomal RNA
Source: RNAcentral
UGCGUAGGCGGGCUAAUAAGUCAGUGGUGAAAUCUCUCGGCUCAACCGGGAAACUGCCAUUGAUACUGUUAGUCUUGAGUUCGGUUGAGGUAGGCGGAAUGUGUAAUGUAGCGGUGAAAUGCUUAGAUAUACACAGAACACCAAUUGCGUAGGCAGCUUACUAGACCGACACUGACGCUGAGGCACGAAAGCGUGGGGAGCGAACAGGAUUAGAUACCCUGGUAGUCC